This 253-nucleotide ribosomal RNA is filed under the name uncultured bacterium. RNAcentral describes it as "partial 16S ribosomal RNA". It matches the Rfam family "Bacterial small subunit ribosomal RNA", at positions 524 to 776 of the family's 1533-position model. The record is from RNAcentral.
UACAGAGGUCUCAAGCGUUGUUCGGAUUCAUUGGGCGUAAAGGGUGCGUAGGCGGCGCGGUCAGUCGGGGGUGAAAUCUCGGGGCUUAACUCCGAAACUGCAUUCGAUACUGCCGUGCUUGAGGACUGGAGAGGAGACUGGAAUUUACGGUGUAGCGGUGAAAUGCGUAGAUAUCGUAAGGAAGACCAGUGGCGAAGGCGGGUCUCUGGACAGUUCCUGACGCUGAGACACGAAAGCGUGGGUAGCAAACAGG